ACGAACCGUGCGAACGUUAUUCGGAAUCACUGGGCUUAAAGCGCGCGUAGGCGGGCCGGCACGUCGGAUGCUGAAAGCCCCCGGCUCAACCGGGGAAGUGGCACCGAUACGACCGGCCUGGAGUGGGGUAGGGGGAGCCGGAACUUCCGGUGGAGCGGUGAAAUGCGUAGAUAUCUGGAGGAACACCGGUGGCGAAAGCGGCUCACUGGACCCGAUCUGACACUGAGGUGCGAAAGCUAGGGUAGCAAACGGGA
RNAcentral lists this ribosomal RNA (254 nucleotides) under uncultured prokaryote. RNAcentral's name for it is "partial 16S ribosomal RNA". It matches the Rfam family "Bacterial small subunit ribosomal RNA", at positions 525 to 777 of the family's 1533-position model. The record is from RNAcentral.